CAGUCGCCGCGGGAAAACGGAGGGGGCUAGCGUUGUUCGGAAUUACUGGGCGUAAAGCGCACGUAGGCGGCUUUGUAAGUUAGAGGUGAAAGCCUGGGGCUCAACUCCAGAAUUGCCUUUAAGACUGCAUCGCUUGAACGUCGGAGAGGUGAGUGGAAUUCCGAGUGUAGAGGUGAAAUUCGUAGAUAUUCGGAAGAACACCAGUGGCGAAGGCGGCUCACUGGCUCAUUCUAGACACUGAGGUGCGAAAGCGUGGGGAGCAAACAGGAUUAGAUACCCCAGUAGUCCCUGUCUCUUAUAC
This 301-nucleotide ribosomal RNA is filed under the name uncultured bacterium. Its description in RNAcentral is "partial 16S ribosomal RNA". It matches the Rfam family "Bacterial small subunit ribosomal RNA", at positions 509 to 807 of the family's 1533-position model. The record is from RNAcentral.